RNAcentral lists this unclassified non-coding RNA (156 nucleotides) under soil metagenome. RNAcentral's name for it is "partial internal transcribed spacer 1". The record is from RNAcentral.
CAGAGUUGCAAACUCCCUAAACCAUUGUGAACCGUACCUACACAUACCGUUGCUUCGGCGGCGCCAGCUCCCCCGGUCCCACCGCGGGCGCCCGCCGGAGGGUAUACCAAACUCUUAUAUUAAGUGCCUCUCUGAGUAUUCUUACUUAAUAAGUCA